RNAcentral lists this ribosomal RNA (235 nucleotides) under uncultured bacterium. Its description in RNAcentral is "partial 16S ribosomal RNA". It matches the Rfam family "Bacterial small subunit ribosomal RNA", at positions 524 to 757 of the family's 1533-position model. The record is from RNAcentral.
UACGUAGGUGGCAAGCGUUGUCCGGAUUACUGGGCGUAAAGAGCGCGCAGGCGGUCGAAUAAGUCGAAUGUGAAAGCCCCCCGGCUCAACUGGGGAGGGUCAUUCGAUACUGCUCGACUUGAAGGCAGGAGAGGGUAGUGGAAUUCCCGGUGUAGUGGUGAAAUGCGUAGAUAUCGGGAGGAACACCAGUGGCGAAGGCGACUACCUGGCCUGUUCUUGACGCUGAGGCAGCGAA